This is a long non-coding RNA of Musa acuminata AAA Group (dessert banana), 400 nucleotides long. RefSeq lists it as uncharacterized. Lineage: Eukaryota; Viridiplantae; Streptophyta; Magnoliopsida; Zingiberales; Musaceae. The record is from RefSeq and is a predicted model, not a curated record. The transcript is spliced from 2 exons.
GUCCAAGUGGAAGAUGGACCAUUUGAGUCCUCUUCUGCUCCUACCCGAGACGGGAUACAGGGGAGGCCGGAGGCUAAAGCUCGAGUCAGUGCUGUCGUGGCAUGCCUAAAGUUUCACAGGGAUGGGGGCGCGGCUCCAGGAAACACAUUCUGACGAAGGGAGGGUUAAAGGUCUUGCUAGGUGUUUGGGAUGUUCGUGGAUGGCUGCGAUGUUUCCAACUGCGGGUGCUUCAGGAGGCAUCGCCUUGUUGUGGAACUCCACCAUUGUCAGGGCUUAGGUGUUUCCUAUCCAUUCUUAGGUUUUGCAUGCUGUGAUUCAAUUUAGAGACUCAGAUCCUUGGAUUUUUUCUGGAAUUUACUCUAGUGUCUCAAUCUUAAACCGUAAUCUUUUAUGGGAUUCA